AAUAGCAGAGGUUUUUUCUCCUAAUACUUCUUUUUUUCUUUUCCUUGUAAUCUUGUGUGAAAUCUCUAGAUCUUCUCCGUUUCUCAAAAUUUCUUCCCAAAAAAUUACUUUAUGGAUACAUUGUUCUUCGAUUCAAUUAAGAAGUUUGAUUUCUCUGUUUGUUCAACGCCUGCUUUGGUUUUUGAUUUUCAUCGUCAGAAUUUUAGUCAACCUUGUAUUUGCUUCUAACCUUUGUUACCUGGAGCUGUCACCAUGGGUAGAAGAAGUUCGCAACGUAGGAAUGCUGCGAUGCUAGAUAGCGAUGACACGGAUAGCGUUAGUUCAUCAUCAACUACUCGAUCGGAUAUGAUGUUGUCUGGUUUAGAGGAGGUUCAAUUUGAUAAGGAGACUGUCCUUGAUCAAUGCUUGGACGCCUUAUAUGAGAAAAGGGGCUCAACAAGAGAGAAGGCUUUGGCAUCUAUUAUAGAAGCAUUCAAUAGCAACAUUCAGCAUGAAUUUGUUGAAAAGAAGUUUGCCACAUUACUGCAACAAUGUUUGAAUUCCAUUAAACGUGGUUCCUCCAAGGAGAUAGCUUUGGCAUCUCAUGUUAUUGGGCUUCUUGCUUUAACUGCUGGCCCUGGGGACAAAGCACACGAGGUUCUGGAAGAAUCAGUGUCUCCUAUCUCAGAGGCUCUUAAAUCUCGGUCUGAUAAUUCUAAAAUAUCCUCGCUACUGGAAUGUUUGGCCAUUAUCACCUUUAUUGGUGGCGAAGAACCUGAGGAAACAGAAAAGUCAAUGCAAUUGAUGUGGCAAGUCAUUCACCCAAAACUGGGUCCUAAUGUAUGUUAUUCGUGAUCAUCUUUUCCUGUUGUAAGGCUUGUGUUUGGUGACAGUGCUAGAUGGUGAAUCAUUUGCUCAUGAUGCAGGUCAAUCUCCUACUUCUCAACUCUUCUAGACAAGGAAGACCGAUCUGUGCGCAUUGCAGCAGGCGAAGCACUUGCUUUAGUUUUUGAAGUUGGGAGUCUGGAGAAGUUUUCUGGUGAAGCUAAAGGAUCUAGUGACAGCUCCACAGUUGAAGCUAACAAAUCUAGGGAAUUAUUACAUAUACAGGGAUUAAGGGCAAAAGUCCUGAACCAGGUAAGAACCCUUUCAGCAGAGGCUGGAGGUAAAGGAUCAGCCAAGAAGGAUCUUAACAACCAAAGAAACACAUUUCGAGAUAUAUUGGAAUUUCUCGAGGAUGGGUAUAGCCCUGAGGCCUCGACCAAGAUUGGUGGAGAACCGCUUAGCACAAGUACUUGGGCUCAACUUAUACAGUUAAACUUCCUUAAGCACUUCCUUGGAGGAGGAUUCGUGAAGCAUAUGCAGGAAAAUGAGUUUCUUCAUGAUGUAUUUGGUUUCACGCCGAAGAAGAAACUGCCCGGUGUUGAGCACCGUGUAUCCGGCGCUGAAAAGAGAUUGUUUAAGUCACCAAAUUCAGAAAAAAACAAGGCCCGCACUCAAUUUCUAAACAAGCAAAGGAUGUUGUCCCAGGACAAGAAUGUUGGCUACUAUACGGUUGGUGAUGUGUGAAAUUUUCAGCCAAAGCCAACCUGGAACAAUUGUCCGUGUCAAAAAUAUUCAUUCAUAGUUGCAGAUUUGAUGAACAAAAUGAUAAACAAAAGGAUAGUUACUUGAUCAUUUUGUUGCCUACUUGGUAGUAGUCCUUUAUUUUUCUUUUACAGUAAGUAUGAAUUAGAUUGGACUUGGUGCCUCCACUUCAUGUAGUGCAUGAAAAAGGCCAGCCACUGUGCAUUCUCUUAUGUUUCUAUUGAAACAGAUUCUCUUAAUAGAUGAUUCAGUGAGUGCUAGUUUUAUUCUCGUUGUUGAAUUUCUGAA
Molecule: non-coding RNA, 1854 nt
Organism: Nicotiana tabacum (common tobacco)
Lineage: Eukaryota; Viridiplantae; Streptophyta; Magnoliopsida; Solanales; Solanaceae
Source: RefSeq, a predicted model, not a curated record